UCCUAGCCCCGAUAGAAACGGUUACCCCGCAGCUUACGCUGGAGAGGCCUGGCGCGAGGAGUAUGAGUGGAUAGCGGGAAAUAGC
RNAcentral lists this unclassified non-coding RNA (85 nucleotides) under Chryseobacterium contaminans. RNAcentral describes it as "Flavo-1 RNA". The record is from RNAcentral. Lineage: Bacteria; Pseudomonadati; Bacteroidota; Flavobacteriia; Flavobacteriales; Weeksellaceae.